RNAcentral lists this ribosomal RNA (253 nucleotides) under uncultured bacterium. Its description in RNAcentral is "partial 16S ribosomal RNA". It matches the Rfam family "Bacterial small subunit ribosomal RNA", at positions 524 to 776 of the family's 1533-position model. The record is from RNAcentral.
UACGAAGGGGGCUAGCGUUGCUCGGAAUUACUGGGCGUAAAGGGAGCGUAGGCGGAUAGUUAAGUUGGGGGUGAAAGCCCGGGGCUCAACCUCGGAAUUGCCUUCAAUACUGGCUAUCUAGAGUAUGGGAGAGGUGAGUGGAACUCCGAGUGUAGAGGUGAAAUUCGUAGAUAUUCGGAAGAACACCAGUGGCGAAGGCGACACACUGGCCCAUUACUGACGCUGAGGCACGAAAGCGUGGGGAGCAAACAGG